GAUCCAGAACAUACUGGUAGAGGCAAGCCGUGGAGAGGUGGUGCUCACCUCGAGGCCCCGCAUCAUUGCCCUACCACCAGUCAGCAUGAACAGGGCAGAUACGCUGCUGCAGAUGUCACAAGGGGAAGUUCUCUGCUCUGGGAUACAGCAUCCUGACUGUUUGCUGGUGUCAGCAUCCAGCCCCUCUUACAUGACUGCCUAGAUUUGCCCCUGGUCCCUUUUUACUGUUCUGCAAGUAAACCGUUUAGUUCUACACCCUAA
This 261-nucleotide long non-coding RNA is filed under the name Rattus norvegicus (Norway rat). Its description in RNAcentral is "long non-coding RNA NONRATT030169". Lineage: Eukaryota; Metazoa; Chordata; Mammalia; Rodentia; Muridae. The record is from RNAcentral.